RNAcentral lists this ribosomal RNA (254 nucleotides) under uncultured bacterium. RNAcentral describes it as "partial 16S ribosomal RNA". It matches the Rfam family "Bacterial small subunit ribosomal RNA", at positions 524 to 776 of the family's 1533-position model. The record is from RNAcentral.
CACGUAGGGGGCGAGCGUUGUCCGGAUUUAUUGGGCGUAAAGAGCUCGUAGGCGGCUCGGUAAGUCGGGUGUGAAACCUCCAGGCUCAACCCGGAGACGCCACUCGAUACUGCCGUGGCUAGAGUCCGGUAGAGGAGCGUAGAAUUCCUGGUGUAGCGGUGAAAUGCGCAGAUAUCAGGAGGAAUACCAGCGGCGAAGGCGGCGCUCUGGGCCGGUACUGACGCUGAGGAGCGAAAGCGUGGGGAGCAAACAGG